Amphimedon queenslandica is the source of this 833-nucleotide long non-coding RNA. RefSeq lists it as uncharacterized. The transcript is spliced from 4 exons. The record is from RefSeq and is a predicted model, not a curated record. Lineage: Eukaryota; Metazoa; Porifera; Demospongiae; Haplosclerida; Niphatidae.
AUGUUAGCAGGUGUUGUGUUGAAGCUAAAGUUAGUAACAUACUGUGUGAUGUAAUUAUGAUGUCAUGAACUUUUAUAUAAAAAUAAAGUCUUCUAUUGAUAGUGUCAGUCCCUAUAUUGUUUUGCUCUCUUAGUCUAAUUUUACAUUUCAAUCAGGAGGUUGAUUUGAUCUUUGUGUGUUCCGUUGUUAGACCUUUCAACCUUUACCUGAAGCAGAUGUGUAUCAUCUGUCAGGCAUCAUAACCCACAGGAUUGAUCACAGCUCUCUACCUUUUGGACUUUCUGCAUCGCGAGAUAGACAGCAUAAUGUACAUGUCACUGCAGUAUUUUGAUAGUCUUUCCAAUUCAUUAGGUGGGAGCCUUGGACCCUUAAUAGUGUCUAUGGUAUUGUGAAUAUCCUGCAACAGCUAUGGAGUCACUGUGAGUAAUAGUAAAGCAGUACUUUAAAGGGGUAGCCAUGUGGGGGGUGAUUGCUUUCCCUGCCCAUUCCUAAAUGAAACUCGCUAGAAAAUUGCAUAGGAUCCUCUUGAGCCUUAAAAAUGUAUGGGUACUAAAGACCUUGAUAAACACAGGUGUCCAUGUAAUUCAGACAUUCAAGUCAACAAACGUUAUCAACCACUAUCUUCCAAUUUUAGAGGUAUUUUGUAUUUUAUUCUGGUUAUGUGUACAUUUAAUUAAUUCUUGGGUAUACAGUUGUGUUAUAUAGCACUCAGUAUGGUCACAACAUGUGCAGACAUAUUCUGAACCUAAAACAUUAAAACAUUCAAUGUGUUACAUAUGUACAUUCCUGUAGUACCAGUUUUAAUUUUCUUCAUGGUUUUCCUUGAAAGGUCA